RNAcentral lists this ribosomal RNA (492 nucleotides) under uncultured bacterium. Its description in RNAcentral is "partial 16S ribosomal RNA". It matches the Rfam family "Bacterial small subunit ribosomal RNA", at positions 29 to 507 of the family's 1533-position model. The record is from RNAcentral.
AGUGAACGCUGGCGGCAUGCCUAAUACAUGCAAGUCGAACGGCCGCACAGUAAGAUUUCGCCCCUACGGUUGGCGACUGGCGGACGGGUGAGGCAUACAUCGCCAUCUACUUUUACGUGGGGGACAACGUAGAGCAACUUACGCUACCACCUCAUAUGUCGUACGGGUGAAAGCAGGGGAUCUUGGGACCUUUCCUGACAGUAUUAGCUGGUGUCGGAUUAGCUAGUUGGCGAGGUAAAGGCCCACCAAGGCAACGAUCCGUAGCUGAUCUGAGAGGAUGAUCAGCCACACUGGAACUGAGACACGGUCCAGACUCCUACGGGAGGCAGCAGUAGGGAAUAUUCGGCAAUGGGCGAAAGCCUGAUCCAGCAAUGCCGCGUGAGUGAAGAAGGCCUUCGGGUUGUAAAACUCUGUUGUUAGGGAAGAAAAGCAGUGUAAGAAAACCCGCCUGUUUUGACGGUACCCAAAGAGUAAGCACCGGCUAACUUCGUG